UACGUAGGUGGCAAGCGUUAUCCGGAUUUACUGGGUGUAAAGGGCGUGUGGGCGGGAAAGCAAGUCAGAUGUGAAAACCACGGGCUCAACCUGUGGCCUGCAUUUGAAACUGUUUUUCUUGAGUACUGGAGAGGCAGACGGAAUUCCUCGUGUAGCGGUGAAAUGCGUAGAUAUGAGGAGGAACACCAGUGGCGAAGGCGGUCUGCUGGACAGCAACUGACGCUGAGGCGCGAAAGCGUGGGGAGCAAACAGG
This 253-nucleotide ribosomal RNA is filed under the name uncultured bacterium. RNAcentral's name for it is "partial 16S ribosomal RNA". It matches the Rfam family "Bacterial small subunit ribosomal RNA", at positions 524 to 776 of the family's 1533-position model. The record is from RNAcentral.